This 26-nucleotide non-coding RNA is filed under the name Homo sapiens (human). Lineage: Eukaryota; Metazoa; Chordata; Mammalia; Primates; Hominidae. The record is from RNAcentral.
UACCUCUGGGGAGUCAUUGUACCACG